GCAAGUAUGGUAAGGGCGGACGGUGGAUCCCUCGGCAGCCGGAGGCGAUGAAGGGCGUGGCCAGCUGCGAUAAGCCCCGGGGAGCCGCUGAGCAGGCUAUGAUCCGGGGAUUCCCGAAUGGGGCAACCCACCGUGCCGACAAGGCGCGGUAUCCGUCGCCGAAAUCCAAAAGUAAGCGGCGGAGGCGAACCCCGCGAAGGGAAACAUCCCAGUAGCGGGAGGAGGAGAAAUCAACCGAGAUUCCCCUAGUAGCGGCGAGCGAACGGGGAACAGCCCAAACCGCGGCAGUGUAAGGCCGCAGCC
RNAcentral lists this ribosomal RNA (303 nucleotides) under Candidatus Acetothermia bacterium. RNAcentral describes it as "partial 23S ribosomal RNA". It matches the Rfam family "Bacterial large subunit ribosomal RNA", at positions 1 to 297 of the family's 2925-position model. The record is from RNAcentral. Lineage: Bacteria; Candidatus Bipolaricaulota.